Hibiscus syriacus is the source of this 2455-nucleotide RNA transcript. RefSeq lists it as uncharacterized. The record is from RefSeq and is a predicted model, not a curated record. NCBI's taxonomy places the organism in Eukaryota, Viridiplantae, Streptophyta, Magnoliopsida, Malvales, Malvaceae. The transcript has 12 exons.
AAGGUCUAAUUUUUGAUGUAGUGAUUUCUGGCGACUGGCGUGUAUCGAGUAUACCCGAGAAGAAAAAGGAGUGUGUUGAUUUUGAGCGUAGGCUGUCUCGAAUCAAAGUGGCUUCUUGUCGUUCCUUGCUUUGUUUAACACGAUCAAGAUAUAUAGAUUAAGUGAACUUUUCAUCGAGAACUGCAAUCUGGGUUUGCGGGAUUCUCCUUUUCUGAUCUUGGUGAACGAAUUCUCAGUUUUUGGUUUGAUUUGGUUUUCAUUGAGCUUCGUUUGAUCCUUGGAGUGCUUGAGUGGGAGCUGGAUGCUGUUUUCAUAUAGAUGUAAACAUGGAAAAGAAGAAGACAAUCUCUCAUUACAGAGAGAGGCUGGACAAUACUGUCUUCUGCCGAACUGACCGAUCCUGUGACGCUUAAAACCCUUGUCAAGAAUCAGAUUUUACAAUGUGCACAAGAUGAGAAAGAAGAGUUUAGUGAACAUUUAUUGGAUAAAAGGGCUCGGGAAGUAUCCAAUUUUCUCGACAUGUUGAGGAGUACUUCUGUUGAUGAUCAUCAACUGUCAGAAUCCCGUGAGACAUCAUCACAUGGUCAAUGGAAAUUGAAGCAUGAUAACGAAGAGUUCCGUGUUAUGUACCGUGAAGGACCUCAUGGUACCCCUUUUCAUACAUUACUCGUUGAAGGCUAUGUAGACGGACCUUUGGAUGUUUGUCUGUGUAUCUCUUGGGAGUCAGCCCUCUACAAGAAAUGGUGGCCUCAGUCUAGCUUUCCACCUUUAAAAGUAACUAAUUCCACCUGUGUGAGAAAGAUCAGACUUGGUGAACAAAUAGCUCUAGUGAGGGUGAAGGUUGCAUGGCCACUGUCAGCUAGGGAGGCUCUAGUACACUUUUUUUCCUUUCAGUACUUCCAAGAUGAUCUGAUUGUUAUUCUCGUGAACACGAUCUCAGAUGUGAGAAAUAUUGAUAGAGCAACACAUGGGUUCACUAACGACAGGAUCCCCGAAGCAAAGGAUGUUGUAAGGAUUGAUGUAGUCGGAGGCUUUGCUUUGCAGAAGGUGAACAGUGGAAGAAGCUACUUUAGGACAAUAGCAAAUAUGGAUAUGAAGCUGGAUUUUGUCCCUCCGUCCCUUAUAAAUUUUAUCGCAAGGCAGCUCAUCGGAAACGGUUUCAAACUCUAUCAAAAGACAGUGGCUUCUGUCACUAAUAGCGAAGAAGAUUACAGCAAGGCCUUGCGAGAGCCUCUGUUUUGUCCGAUACGUGAAAAGCUUUACUCCGAUAACAAAUCAGGCAAAGUUCUUGAAGCACAAGAGCUCAAAAGUGGACCUGAUAUUUUGCCUAAUGAAAAUGUAAUUGAAGACCUACAGGACAAUACUGAUGAUGCGGACCCGAUGAUGGUUCAUGCUAAUGACCCUGCCGGUGAAUCUCCACUGAAGAAAGUAAACAACAGAAAGAGAAAAGCUUUUGGUGAAAUUGAGGAAGAAGAAAAUACUGAAGAGAGUACAUGCCUGGAUGAGGGCAUUACAGCUGCAAAUCAACCUUCAACCGAUAAAUUUGCGGGUUCGAAUGGUGUAAGUGCUAAACAAAAGACUCCUAUUCGUCCAGAGGUGGAUGAAGCUCUACGAACAUUGGAGCAGGCCAUUUCAAUAGUACGACGAUACAGAUUUAAUAAUGUCCGAAGCAGAUCUUCUAGUUUCUCUGAUGAAGGAACUCCUAAUAUCGAAGACGGUGAUGUAAAAGACACAACUUAUGCUGCAGAAGAUAAUGUUCCUCUAGAAGCGGAGGUUGGUCCUGAUGCUGGCUCCGAAAUGGUCGGGAAUCCGGACAUGACGUUGGAUGACUUGAAGAACAGCAAUGACAAUAAUGACACAAGGUCUGCAAGAUCAAAUUCUUUGCCAAGGGAAGUAAACCAUAAGAAAGUAGCACCCGCAUCGCCUCAGCGAAACGUGAUAAUACCAGUGGAGACUAACCAAGUUGGUUUGAAUCCUCAUGGAAACGAAACCUUCACGACAAAUGGUGUAGGUGAUGUUGAGAAGUUGAGUAAAUGGAGAAAGCAUAGGUUCUGUUGCUUUGGCUUCUAUUCACGAGGAAGAAGAAAACCUUGAAUGGAUGGAAAGCAAGACACUUCAUUGUCAGCCUUCAGCAUGGUUUAAUGGUUGUGAAGGGCCUAGAAAAUAACAGCAGCUGGGGUUAUUUUGUUAAACCAAUACAGAUGAAGGACCUAAAAGAACAACUGAUGUUAGCUUUUGAAGUUAAAUUUCAAUGCUCUUCAACUUCGUCAGGUCUAUUGUCCUCUCCACUGUGGAACACGAAGACAACUGAUGUUAGCCAGCUUCAGCUCUUGUUUUCAAGAGAUGUAUAAAAUAGUUUCCUGAUCUACCUCUAAUAGUAGUCAUUAUAAGGUGAAAAGGCCACAUUUGAGCCACAUGCCCCUUUUUGGGAUUUUGACGAUCUUAGUACGCCAUU